UACGUAGGUGGCGAGCGUUGUCCGGAUUUACUGGGCGUAAAGAGCGCGCAGGCGGUCGUUCAAGUCGCGUGUGAAAGCCCCCGGCUCAACUGGGGAGGGUCACGCGAUACUGUUCGACUCGAAGGCAGGAGAGGGAAGUGGAAUUCCCGGUGUAGUGGUGAAAUGCGUAGAUAUCGGGAGGAACACCAGUGGCGAAGGCGACUUCCUGGCCUGUUCUUGACGCUGAGGCGCGAAAGCUAGGGGAGCAAACGGG
RNAcentral lists this ribosomal RNA (253 nucleotides) under uncultured bacterium. Its description in RNAcentral is "partial 16S ribosomal RNA". It matches the Rfam family "Bacterial small subunit ribosomal RNA", at positions 524 to 776 of the family's 1533-position model. The record is from RNAcentral.